RNAcentral lists this small nucleolar RNA (106 nucleotides) under Gossypium arboreum. RNAcentral's name for it is "Plant small nucleolar RNA R71". It matches the Rfam family "Plant small nucleolar RNA R71". From Rfam's summary of the family: R71 is a member of the C/D box family of snoRNAs containing the C (UGAUGA) and D (CUGA) box motifs. Multiple nearly identical copies of this snoRNA have been identified in Arabidopsis, and it is thought to function as a 2'-O-ribose methylation guide for 18S ribosomal RNA. The record is from Rfam by way of RNAcentral. Lineage: Eukaryota; Viridiplantae; Streptophyta; Magnoliopsida; Malvales; Malvaceae.
AUUCCGUGAUGAGGGCACUUUCAUAAUAAUUCUUUGUACCUUUCCUAUGCUUAAUACAAGGACUCAUCAUCCAUUUGUUGGAAGGUAGUGAUCUCAUUUUACAACU